This 2262-nucleotide long non-coding RNA is filed under the name Mus musculus (house mouse). RNAcentral's name for it is "predicted gene, 48619". The record is from RNAcentral. Lineage: Eukaryota; Metazoa; Chordata; Mammalia; Rodentia; Muridae.
GGGGAUUUGAAGAGAGAAGCUGCCUGAGUAAACUGCUUUAAGAAGAACCGGUGGUUGCGUUUUCCUUGCUGGUCGAGUUGGAUGCAACAAAUGGUGCUGAAACCCGGGACCGACUUCCCCACCAAAGAGGUUCAGAACUUUCUGCAGUCAGGGUCUGUCGACAGGAUGAGUACGAGAGAAGAGUCAGAAGACUUCAGAAAGAAAGGUGUGGCAGAAGAAAGAGGAGACUGGGAAAUCACAUCUCAAUCAGGAACACAAAGCAGAUGUCACAAACUAGAAACGAUUGAUUUAGCUAUCCAUCGAAUUGAACAACCCAUUAUGGAUUUAAUGUUUGGCUUCUCCACUUCUACAAAAACAGCUGUUGAAAUUCUCAUAGGGUUUUUAUUGAAUCUGUAGGUCACUUAGGUAAUAUUGUCACAUUUAUGAUAUUAAUUCCUUUCAUCUAUGAGCACAGCAUAUCUUUUCAUUUGUGUAACCCAUAUCAUAGCUUCUUUCAGUGACUUUUUGUACUUUUUAGUGUACAAAUAACUCCCUUUAUUGAUUAUAAUUUUUCUUAGCAUCUUAUUGUUUUGGAUAUCAUAAUGAGUAAUAUUACUUUAUUACUUUUCUUUUAAGAAUGUUGGCUCUGCUGUAUAAUAUCACAAAUGAUCUGAGUAUGGAUUUCAUUUUGUGGUUUUGAAAAAUUCAUUGAUUGCUGCUAGUAGCUUUUUCAUUGAUUACCUGGAAUAGAGAAUCAUGUUAUCUGUGAACGGAGAUCAUUUACUGUUUCCUUCCUGAUGUAGAUAUCUUUUUUCCCCCUUUUUCUUGCCUCAUUAAUCUUAGUAGAUGUACCUGUACAAUAUUGAAUACCAGUGAUGAAAUUGGAGAUCUUUGUCUCACACUUGAUUUUAGCUGGAAAGAUUUCAGUCUCUUACUGCUGAGCAGGGUGUUAAUUGUGAGUGCACUGCUGGUUUUGAUACACAGUGUGGGGGCUGUAGCACAUUUUCAGGACUUUUCAUAAUUGAAAAUGUAUCUUCACGUUUUUCAUUCUUCUUGCUCCAAAUUUAAGGGACUCAACCUGCAUAAGUAAUUCUGACUAUAUGUAUCAGUUCCAAUUUAACCCUUAAAGCAGGAAAAAUGACUGACAGAUGAGUCUGUAACAGAAUUUCACGAGGACUCAGGUGAGUCCCUGAAUACUCUUAGUGUUCAUACAUGAUGAUAUUUGAAACUACAAGUAUUCAAGAAUACCAGAUUAUUCUUUAAUUUAUUUAUAUUUUCAUUUUUAUUGGUUAUUUUACUUAUUUAUAUUUCAAAUGUUAUUCCCCUUCCCAGUUACCCCUAAACAAGCUCCACAAGUCUAUUACGAUCUUGUAAAGUCAUCAUGGGAGACACACAUUUAUCCUUCUCCCGCCCCACUGCCUCUAUGCUCUCCCACCUGCCCACCCACUCCUGCCUCAGUGCCCUAGCAUUACCCUACCCUGGAUCAUCAAGACUCCAUAGAACCAAGGGGCUCCCCUUCCAAUGAUGGCAGAGCCAUGUGUCCUUCCAUGUGUACUCUCUAGUUGAUGGUUUAGGCCUGGGAGCUUUGGGAUGUCUAGUUGGAAUACCAGAUUAUUUACAGAAUAUACUUUCACAUUUUCUUUCUUCCUUCCUUCCUUUCUUCCUUCCUUCCUUUCUUCCUUUCUUCCUUUCCUUCUUUCUUUCUUUCUUUCUUUCUUUCUUUCUUUCUUUCUUUCUUUCUUUCUUUCUUCCUGUUUGUUUUUGAGACAGGGUUUCUCUGUGUAGCCUGGUCUACAGUGUGGAAGUCACUCUGUAGACCAGACUGGCCUCGAACUCAGAAAUCCACCUGCCUCUGCCUCCUAAGUGCUGAGAUUAAAGGCAUGUGCCACCACCACCUGGCCACAUUUUUAUUUCACAUAGAAGAUCUUUUAAGAUAAUGUUUAUGAUGAUUCAUUUCCAUUGUCAACUUGAUUGAAUUAAGAGCCACCCAGAGUAUUAGGGAAACUGUGGGAAGCCGCCCCCACAUUCGCCGUUACAAGAUGGCGCUGACAGCUGUGUUCUAAGUGGUAAACAAAUAAUCUGCGCAUGUGCCAAGGGUAGUUCUCCACCCCAUGUGCUCUGCCUUCCCCGUGACGACAACUCGGCCAUGGGCUGCAGCCAAUCAGGGAGUGAUACGUCCUAGGCGAAGGAUAACUCUCCUUAAGAGGGACGGGGUUUCGUUUUUGCUUUUGGGGGGCUCUUGCACUCUGGCUCCUGAAGAUGUAAGCAAUAAAGUUUUGCCGC